UACGUAGGGUGCGAGCGUUGUCCGGAAUUAUUGGGCGUAAAGGGCUCGUAGGCGGUUUGUCGCGUCGGGAGUGAAAACGCCGUGCUUAACACGGCGCUUGCUUUCGAUACGGGCAGACUAGAGGUAUGCAGGGGAGAACGGAAUUCCUGGUGUAGCGGUGAAAUGCGCAGAUAUCAGAAGGAACACCGGUGGCGAAGGCGGUUCUCUGGGCAUUACCUGACGCUGAGGAGCGAAAGUGUGGGGAGCGAACAGG
RNAcentral lists this ribosomal RNA (253 nucleotides) under uncultured bacterium. Its description in RNAcentral is "partial 16S ribosomal RNA". It matches the Rfam family "Bacterial small subunit ribosomal RNA", at positions 524 to 776 of the family's 1533-position model. The record is from RNAcentral.